AAAAUGAUUUCAUCAAGUAUAAGUAGUAACAGUUACAUGCAAGUAAAUUGCAAAUUUUGGGUGAAGUUUGACAUCAAAUGUAUUACAGAUUUUCUUUACUUGCAGAAUCAAAAGACUGAUUUUGAAGCAAUGGAGAUCUCUGGCUGGUUGGACGUCAUUCGAUAAGAAAGUGAUUGUAGUGUGGUUAUAUAUUUUUCUGGAAACAAGUAAUUGCCUAUC
Long non-coding RNA from Telopea speciosissima, 219 nucleotides. RefSeq lists it as uncharacterized. NCBI's taxonomy places the organism in Eukaryota, Viridiplantae, Streptophyta, Magnoliopsida, Proteales, Proteaceae. The transcript has 2 exons. The record is from RefSeq and is a predicted model, not a curated record.